GAUGAACGCUGACAGAAUGCUUAACACAUGCAAGUCUUUGGUGAAGCUGUGCUUGCACAGCCUAGCCAAGGCGGACGGGUGAGUAACGCGUAAGGAACUUGCCCUGCAGUCAGGGAUAACAGACGGAAACGACUGAUAAGACCUGGUAAAGUCAGGCGGACUCAUGUCCAGCCUGAUGAAAAGAGAUGCUGCAGGAGAGCCUUGCGUCCUAUUAGCUUGUUGGUGGGGUAACGGCCCACCAAGGCAAUGAUAGGUAGCCGGCCUGAGAGGGUGGACGGCCACAAGGGGACUGAGAGACGGCCCUUACUCCUACGGGAGGCAGCAGUGGGGAAUAUUGGACAAUGGGGGCAACCCUGAUCCAGCAAUUCUGUGUGCACGAUGAAGGUUUUCGGAUUGUAAAGUGCUUUCAGCAGGGAAGAAAAAAAUGACGGUACCUGCAGAAGAAGCGACGGCUAAAUACGUG
Molecule: ribosomal RNA, 463 nt
Filed under: uncultured bacterium
Lineage: Bacteria
Description: partial 16S ribosomal RNA
Rfam family: Bacterial small subunit ribosomal RNA
Source: RNAcentral